RNAcentral lists this transfer RNA (76 nucleotides) under Geothermobacter ehrlichii. Its description in RNAcentral is "tRNA-Asn". It matches the Rfam family "tRNA". Rfam says of the family: Transfer RNA (tRNA) molecules are approximately 80 nucleotides in length. Their secondary structure includes four short double-helical elements and three loops (D, anti-codon, and T loops). Lineage: Bacteria; Pseudomonadati; Thermodesulfobacteriota; Desulfuromonadia; Desulfuromonadales; Geothermobacteraceae. RNAcentral also lists the same sequence under 2 other names. The record is from RNAcentral.
UCCCCGAUAGCUCAGUUGGUAGAGCAGGUGGCUGUUAACCACCCUGUCGCAAGUUCGAGUCUUGCUCGGGGAGCCA